RNAcentral lists this ribosomal RNA (253 nucleotides) under uncultured bacterium. RNAcentral's name for it is "partial 16S ribosomal RNA". It matches the Rfam family "Bacterial small subunit ribosomal RNA", at positions 524 to 776 of the family's 1533-position model. The record is from RNAcentral.
GACGAACCGUGCGAACGUUGUUCGGAAUCACUGGGCUUAAAGGGCGCGUAGGCGGGUGCUCAAGUCUGUGGUGAAAUCCUCCGGCUCAACCGGAGAACUGCCAUGGAUACUGGGUGUCUCGAGGGUGGUAGGGGUAUGCGGAACUAUCGGUGGAGCGGUGAAAUGCGUUGAUAUCGAUAGGAACUCCGGUGGCGAAGGCGGCAUACUGGACCACAUCUGACGCUGAGGCGCGAAAGCCAGGGGAGCAAACGGG